This 1489-nucleotide ribosomal RNA is filed under the name metagenome. Its description in RNAcentral is "bacterial SSU rRNA". It matches the Rfam family "Bacterial small subunit ribosomal RNA". The record is from RNAcentral.
AGAGUUUGAUCAUGGCUCAGAUUGAACGCUGGCGGCAGGCCUAACACAUGCAAGUCGAACGGUAACAGGAAGAAGCUUGCUUCUUUGCUGACGAGUGGCGGACGGGUGAGUAAUGUCUGGGAAACUGCCUGAUGGAGGGGGAUAACUACCGGAAACGGUAGCUAAUACCGCAUAACGUCGCAAGACCAAAGAGGGGGACCUUCGGGCCUCUUGCCAUCGGAUGUGCCCAGAUGGGAUUAGCUAGUAGGUGGGGUAACGGCUCACCUAGGCGACGAUCCCUAGCUGGUCUGAGAGGAUGACCAGCCACACUGGAACUGAGACACGGUCCAGACUCCUACGGGAGGCAGCAGUGGGGAAUAUUGCACAAUGGGCGCAAGCCUGAUGCAGCCAUGCCGCGUGUAUGAAGAAGGCCUUCGGGUUGUAAAGUACUUUCAGCUGGGAGGAAGGGAGUAAAGUUAAUACCUUUGCUCAUUGACGUUACCCGCAGAAGAAGCACCGGCUAACUCCGUGCCAGCAGCCGCGGUAAUACGGAGGGUGCAAGCGUUAAUCGGAAUUACUGGGCGUAAAGCGCACGCAGGCGGUUUGUUAAGUCAGAUGUGAAAUCCCCGGGCUCAACCUGGGAACUGCAUCUGAUACUGGCAAGCUUGAGUCUCGUAGAGGGGGGUAGAAUUCCAGGUGUAGCGGUGAAAUGCGUAGAGAUCUGGAGGAAUACCGGUGGCGAAGGCGGCCCCCUGGACGAAGACUGACGCUCAGGUGCGAAAGCGUGGGGAGCAAACAGGAUUAGAUACCCUGGUAGUCCACGCCGUAAACGAUGUCGACUUGGAGGUUGUGCCCUUGAGGCGUGGCUUCCGGAGCUAACGCGUUGAGUCGACCGCCUGGGGAGUACGGCCGCAAGGUUAAAACUCAAAUGAAUUGACGGGGGCCCGCACAAGCGGUGGAGCAUGUGGUUUAAUUCGAUGCAACGCGAAGAACCUUACCUGGUCUUGACAUCCACGGAAGUUUUCAGAGAUGAGAAUGUGCCUUCGGGAACCGUGAGACAGGUGCUGCAUGGCUGUCGUCAGCUCGUGUUGUGAGAUGUUGGGUUAAGUCCCGCAACGAGCGCAACCCUUAUCCUUUGUUGCCAGCGGUCCGGCCGGGAACUCAAAGGAGACUGCCAGUGAUAAACUGGAGGAAGGUGGGGAUGACGUCAAGUCAUCAUGCCCCUUACGACCAGGGCUACACACGUGCUACAAUGGCGCAUACAAAGAGAAGCGACCUCGCGAGAGCAAGCGGACCUCAUAAAGUGCGUCGUAGUCCGGAUUGGAGUCUGCAACUCGACUCCAUGAAGUCGGAAUCGCUAGUAAUCGUGGAUCAGAAUGCCACGGUGAAUACGUUCCCGGGCCUUGUACACACCGCCCGUCACACCAUGGGAGUGGGUUGCAAAAGAAGUAGGUAGCUUAACCUUCGGGAGGGCGCUUACCACUUUGUGAUUCAUGACUGGGGUGAAGUC